RNAcentral lists this ribosomal RNA (468 nucleotides) under uncultured bacterium. RNAcentral's name for it is "partial 16S ribosomal RNA". It matches the Rfam family "Bacterial small subunit ribosomal RNA", at positions 28 to 507 of the family's 1533-position model. The record is from RNAcentral.
GACGAACGCUGGCGGCGUGCUUAACACAUGCAAGUCGAACGGAAAGGCCCUGCUUUUGUGGGAUUCUCGAGGGGCGAACGGGUGAGUAACACGGGAGUAACCUGCCCUUGACUUGGGGAUAACUUCGGGAAACUGGGUCUAAUACCGGAUAGGAGCUCCUGCUGCAUGUUGGUGGUUGGAAAUUUUCGGCGGUUGGGGAUGGACGCGCGGCUUGUCAGCUUGUUGGUGGGGUAGUGGCUUACCAAGGCUUUGGCGGGUGGCCGGCCUGAGAGGGUGACCGGCCACAUUGGGACGGAGAUACGGCCCGGACUCCUCCGGGAGGCAGCAGUGGGGAAUAUUGAACAAUGGGCGGAAGCCGGAUGCAGCACCGCGGCGUGCGGGAUGACGGCCUCCGGGUUGUAACCCGCUUUCGCAUGUGACGAAGCGUGAGUGACGGUAAUGGGUAAAGAAGCACCGGCUAACUACGUG